Molecule: ribosomal RNA, 791 nt
Filed under: uncultured bacterium
Lineage: Bacteria
Description: bacterial SSU rRNA
Rfam family: Bacterial small subunit ribosomal RNA
Source: RNAcentral
AGAGUUUGAUCAUGGCUCAGAUUGAACGCUGGCGGCAUGCCUUACACAUGCAAGUCGAACGGCAGCACGGGGGCAACCUUGGUGGCGAGUGGCGAACGGGUGAGUAAUACAUCGGAACGUGUCCUGUAGUGGGGGAUAGCCCGGCGAAAGCCGGAUUAAUACCGCAUACGAUCUGUGGAUGAAAGCGGGGGAUCUUCGGACCUCGCGCUACAGGGGCGGCCGAUGGCAGAUUAGCUAGUUGGUGGGGUAAAGGCCUACCAAGGCGACGAUCUGUAGCUGGUCUGAGAGGACGACCAGCCACACUGGGACUGAGACACGGCCCAGACUCCUACGGGAGGCAGCAGUGGGGAAUUUUGGACAAUGGGCGAAAGCCUGAUCCAGCAAUGCCGCGUGUGUGAAGAAGGCCUUCGGGUUGUAAAGCACUUUUGUCCGGAAAGAAAACCUCGUGGUUAAUACCCGUGGGGGAUGACGGUACCGGAAGAAUAAGCACCGGCUAACUACGUGCCAGCAGCCGCGGUAAUACGUAGGGUGCAAGCGUUAAUCGGAAUUACUGGGCGUAAAGCGUGCGCAGGCGGUUCGCUAAGACAGAUGUGAAAUCCCCGGGCUUAACCUGGGAACUGCAUUUGUGACUGGCGGGCUAGAGUAUGGCAGAGGGGGGUAGAAUUCCACGUAGCAGUGAAAUGCGUAGAGAUGUGGAGGAAUACCGAUGGCGAAGGCAGCCCCCUGGGCCAAUACUGACGCUCAUGCACGAAAGCGUGGGGAGCAAACAGGAUUAGAUACCCUAGUAGUCC